UACGUAGGGUGCGAGCGUUGUCCGGAAUUAUUGGGCGUAAAGAGCUCGUAGGCGGCCUGUCGCGUCGGUUGUGAAAGCCCGGGGCUUAACCCCGGGUCUGCAGUCGAUACGGGCAGGCUAGAGUUCGGUAGGGGAGAUCGGAAUUCCUGGUGUAGCGGUGAAAUGCGCAGAUAUCAGGAGGAACACCGGUGGCGAAGGCGGGUCUCUGGGCCGAUACUGACGCUGAGGAGCGAGAGCGUGGGGAGCGAACAGG
This 253-nucleotide ribosomal RNA is filed under the name uncultured bacterium. RNAcentral describes it as "partial 16S ribosomal RNA". It matches the Rfam family "Bacterial small subunit ribosomal RNA", at positions 524 to 776 of the family's 1533-position model. The record is from RNAcentral.